UGAGAGCACAUUUUAGAAAAA
Molecule: non-coding RNA, 21 nt
Filed under: Caenorhabditis elegans
Lineage: Eukaryota; Metazoa; Nematoda; Chromadorea; Rhabditida; Rhabditidae
Source: RNAcentral